RNAcentral lists this ribosomal RNA (225 nucleotides) under uncultured Chloroflexota bacterium. RNAcentral describes it as "uncultured Chloroflexi bacterium partial 16S ribosomal RNA". It matches the Rfam family "Bacterial small subunit ribosomal RNA", at positions 1158 to 1382 of the family's 1533-position model. Lineage: Bacteria; Bacillati; Chloroflexota. The record is from RNAcentral.
AAAACGUGGAGGAAGGUGGGGAUGACGUCGAAAUCAGCAUGGCCUUUAUGUCUUGGGCUACACACACGCUACAAUGGAUGGUACAAUGGGUUGGCCAAAGAGCGAUCUGGAGCUAAUCCCAAAAAACCAUCCUCAGUUCAGAUUGCAGGCUGCAAUGCCUGCAUGAAGUUGGAGUUGCUAGUAACCGCAGGUCAGCACACUGCGGUGAAUACGUUCUCGGGCCUU